This 1552-nucleotide ribosomal RNA is filed under the name Campylobacter coli. Its description in RNAcentral is "16S ribosomal RNA". It matches the Rfam family "Bacterial small subunit ribosomal RNA". Lineage: Bacteria; Pseudomonadati; Campylobacterota; Epsilonproteobacteria; Campylobacterales; Campylobacteraceae. RNAcentral also lists the same sequence under 1 other name. The record is from RNAcentral.
AAAUUGAAGAGUUUGAUCAUGGCUCAGAUUGAACGCUGGCGGCAGGCCUAACACAUGCAAGUCGAACGGUAACAGGAAACAGCUUGCUGUUUCGCUGACGAGUGGCGGACGGGUGAGUAAUGUCUGGGAAACUGCCUGAUGGAGGGGGAUAACUACUGGAAACGGUAGCUAAUACCGCAUAACGUCGCAAGACCAAAGAGGGGGACCUUCGGGCCUCUUGCCAUCGGAUGUGCCCAGAUGGGAUUAGCUAGUAGGUGGGGUAACGGCUCACCUAGGCGACGAUCCCUAGCUGGUCUGAGAGGAUGACCAGCCACACUGGAACUGAGACACGGUCCAGACUCCUACGGGAGGCAGCAGUGGGGAAUAUUGCACAAUGGGCGCAAGCCUGAUGCAGCCAUGCCGCGUGUAUGAAGAAGGCCUUCGGGUUGUAAAGUACUUUCAGCGGGGAGGAAGGGAGUAAAGUUAAUACCUUUGCUCAUUGACGUUACCCGCAGAAGAAGCACCGGCUAACUCCGUGCCAGCAGCCGCGGUAAUACGGAGGGUGCAAGCGUUAAUCGGAAUUACUGGGCGUAAAGCGCACGCAGGCGGUUUGUUAAGUCAGAUGUGAAAUCCCCGGGCUCAACCUGGGAACUGCAUCUGAUACUGGCAAGCUUGAGUCUCGUAGAGGGGGGUAGAAUUCCAGGUGUAGCGGUGAAAUGCGUAGAGAUCUGGAGGAAUACCGGUGGCGAAGGCGGCCCCCUGGACGAAGACUGACGCUCAGGUGCGAAAGCGUGGGGAGCAAACAGGAUUAGAUACCCUGGUAGUCCACGCCGUAAACGAUGUCGACUUGGAGGUUGUGCCCUUGAGGCGUGGCUUCCGGAGCUAACGCGUUAAGUCGACCGCCUGGGGAGUACGGCCGCAAGGUUAAAACUCAAAUGAAUUGACGGGGGCCCGCACAAGCGGUGGAGCAUGUGGUUUAAUUCGAUGCAACGCGAAGAACCUUACCUGGUCUUGACAUCCACAGAACUUUCCAGAGAUGGAUUGGUGCCUUCGGGAACUGUGAGACAGGUGCUGCAUGGCUGUCGUCAGCUCGUGUUGUGAAAUGUUGGGUUAAGUCCCGCAACGAGCGCAACCCUUAUCCUUUGUUGCCAGCGGUCCGGCCGGGAACUCAAAGGAGACUGCCAGUGAUAAACUGGAGGAAGGUGGGGAUGACGUCAAGUCAUCAUGGCCCUUACGACCAGGGCUACACACGUGCUACAAUGGCGCAUACAAAGAGAAGCGAACUCGCGAGAGCAAGCGGACCUCAUAAAGUGCGUCGUAGUCCGGAUUGGAGUCUGCAACUCGACUCCAUGAAGUCGGAAUCGCUAGUAAUCGUGGAUCAGAAUGCCACGGUGAAUACGUUCCCGGGCCUUGUACACACCGCCCGUCACACCAUGGGAGUGGGUUGCAAAAGAAGUAGGUAGCUUAACCUUCGGGAGGGCGCUUACCACUUUGUGAUUCAUGACUGGGGUGAAGUCGUAACAAGGUAACCGUAGGGGAACCUGCGGUUGGAUCACCUCCUUACCUUAAAGAA